AAUUAAUAUUAUUUAAUUAAUUAUAAUUCAAAUCAAAACAUUAAAAAAGUUAGUAAAGGAGAUUAAAAUUUACUAUAUAUUUAAAUAGUACUGUGAAGGAACAUAAUUAAUUUAAAUAAAAGAAAGAAUUAAUAUUUGUACCUUUUGUAUCAUGGUUUAACUAGAUAUAAAUUCAAAUGAAAAUUCUCGAAGCCUAAUGAGCUAUCUUUUAUCUUUAUUAUAGAAUUAAAAACUAAUUGUAGCAGAAAUUUUUUUAGAAUAAAAGAUAGAAAUGAAAUUUUAUACGCAUUAGACGAUAGCUAGUUCUUCUUGAAAAGUAUAUAAGUACUGUUGAUUAAUUUUAUUAAAAUAAUAAUAUUUUAUUAUUUUUUAGUCAAGUUAGAUUUUAAAGGAUAAGCUUUAAAAUUAUAGUAUAUUAUUAUAUAAUUCUUUUUAAAAAUAUAAGCCUGCAAAUAGCUAAUAUAAAAGACUUUGUUAUAAUUCAUUUAAAUUAAAAAGAAAUAAUUCAUUUAUUUUCAGUUUAAAGGAGUAAAUUUAUAAAUUAAAUAAAAAUUAUAUAUAUGUUAAAAUGAGUAUUGAUAAUUUUAUAAACAAUUAAAAUUUUAGUUUAUUUAAAAUUUAAAUAUAUACAUAAAUUAUAAAUUAUAAAAAGGAAUUCAGCAAAAUUAUAUUCCGCCUGUUUAUCAAAAACAUGGCUUCAUGAAUUUAUUAGUAUAUGAAGUCGAACCUGCCCAGUGAAAAUUUUUUAACGGCCGCGGUACUCUGACCGUGCAAAGGUAGCAUAAUCAUUUGCCUUCUAAUUAAAGGCUAGUAUGAAUGGUCUGACGAGAAUAUAGCUGUCUCUUUAUAAUUAUAUAAAAUUUUAUCUCUGGGUGAAAAAGCCCAGAUUAAAUUAAUAGACAAGAAGACCCUAUCGAGCUUAAAAACAUUUUAUAAAACAAGAUUUAUUAUAUAAGAGAACUAAUUAUUAAAUAUUUUGGUUGGGGCAACCAAGGAGCAUAAGAAGCCUCCUUUAAAGUUUACUAAAAAUAUUCAAAUAUUGAUCCAAAAAGUUUGAUUAAAGAAAAUAGUUACCGUAGGGAUAACAGCAUAAUCUUUUUUAAGAGUUCUUAUCGAAAAAAAGGUUUGUGACCUCGAUGUUGGACCAAAGUAUCCUGAAGAUGUAGAAGUCUUUAAGGGUUGGUCUGUUCGACCAUUAAAACUUUACGUGAUCUGAGUUCAGACCGGCGUAAGCCAGGUCAGUUUCUAUCUUUAGUUUAUUAAAUAUAUUUAGUACGAAAGGACCAAUAUAUUAUAUAAAAUAUAACUAUAAAGAAUAAUUAUAAUAACUAAAUUAAGU
This 1339-nucleotide ribosomal RNA is filed under the name Toxicochlespira sp. MNHN IM 2013-9841. RNAcentral's name for it is "16S ribosomal RNA". The stretch from base 892 to 1256 matches the Rfam family "Bacterial large subunit ribosomal RNA", at positions 2072 to 2648 of the family's 2925-position model. The record is from RNAcentral. Lineage: Eukaryota; Metazoa; Mollusca; Gastropoda; Neogastropoda; Conidae.